Molecule: ribosomal RNA, 253 nt
Filed under: uncultured bacterium
Lineage: Bacteria
Description: partial 16S ribosomal RNA
Rfam family: Bacterial small subunit ribosomal RNA
Source: RNAcentral
UACAGAGACUGCAAGCGUUAUUCGGAUUCACUGGGCGUAAAGGGUGCGCAGGCGGCCAAGUGUGUGAGGCGUGAAAGCCUGGAGCUUAACUCCAGAAUUGCACCUCAAACUACAUGGCUAGAGCAUAGGAGAGGGUAGCGGAAUUCACGGUGUAGCAGUGAAAUGCGUAGAUAUCGUGAGGAACACCAGAGGCGAAGGCGGCUACCUGGACAAUUGCUGACGCUCAGGCACGAAAGCGUGGGGAGCAAAAGGG